Molecule: ribosomal RNA, 497 nt
Filed under: uncultured bacterium
Lineage: Bacteria
Description: partial 16S ribosomal RNA
Rfam family: Bacterial small subunit ribosomal RNA
Source: RNAcentral
GAUGAACGCUGGCGGCGUGCUUAACACAUGCAAGUCGAGCGAAGCACUUUGAUCGAUUUCUUCGGAAUGAAGUUUUAGUGACUGAGUGGCGGACGGGUGAGUAACGCGUGGGUAACCUGCCUCACACAGGGGGAUAACAGUUGGAAACGGCUGCUAAUACCGCAUAAGCGCACAGUACCGCAUGGUACGGUGUGAAAAACUCCGGUGGUGUGAGAUGGACCCGCGUCUGAUUAGCUAGUUGGCAGGGCAGCGGCCUACCAAGGCGACGAUCAGUAGCCGGCCUGAGAGGGUGAGCGGCCACAUUGGGACUGAGACACGGCCCAAACUCCUACGGGAGGCAGCAGUGGGGAAUAUUGCACAAUGGGGGAAACCCUGAUGCAGCGACGCCGCGUGAGCGAAGAAGUAUUUCGGUAUGUAAAGCUCUAUCAGCAGGGAAGAAAAAAUGACGGUACCUGACUAAGAAGCACCGGCUAAAUACGUGCCAGCCGCCGCGGUAA